GAUGAACGCUGGCGGCGUGCCUAAUACAUGCAAGUCGAGCGGACGGACGAUACUCUUGCUUCUCUGUUGUUAGCGGCGGACGGGUGAGUAACACGUGGAUACCCUCCCUAUAAGACUGGGAUAAUUUCGGGAAACCGGAGCUAAUACCGGAUAAUAUUUUGAUCCGCAUGGUUCAAAAGUGAAAGACGGUCUUGCUGUCUCUUAUAGAUGGAUCCGCGCUGCAUUAGCUAGUUGGUAAGGUAACGGCUUACCAAGGCAACGAUGCGUAGCCGACCUGAGAGGGUGAUCGGCCACACUAGAACUGAGACACGGUCCAGACUACUAAGGGAGGGAGCAGAAGGGAAUCGUCCGCAAUGGGCGAAAGCAUGACGGAGUGACGCCGCGUGAGUGAUGAAGGUCUUCGGAUCGUAAAACUCUGUUAUUAGGGAAGAACAUAUGUGUAAGUACCUGUGCACAUCGUGACGGUACCUAAUCAGAAAGCCACGGCUAACUACGUG
RNAcentral lists this ribosomal RNA (497 nucleotides) under uncultured bacterium. RNAcentral's name for it is "partial 16S ribosomal RNA". It matches the Rfam family "Bacterial small subunit ribosomal RNA", at positions 28 to 507 of the family's 1533-position model. The record is from RNAcentral.